GUUCUCCCUUUCGCCUACAGGGGGAGCUCCUCGAAGGCAGGGCAGGUGUGUCUCUGCCCAGGCCAAGUGCUUUGCAAACAACCUCGUAAAGUAGUCCAGCUAGGACCUCUACGUCACAGAUGAGACGACUGAGGCCCAGAGAAAGACACACAGCUUUGGUGCUCUUUGAAUCAUCUCUGUGUCCCUCCCACCCGCACCGGAUGCCUUCCACUAACAGCUGAACCGGUGGGUAAACUGAAGCCCAAAGAAGGGGAAAGAGCUGGACUCAGUUCUCACAGUUACCCUUUGACAAAUGCUGCCUAAAAGUCACCACGUUAUUCCUGAUUCAAGAUACGACCAUCCCGAAGGAACGCAUCCCAGGGCUCCUUCCAGAUAGCGACUACCUGAAGCCCAGCUCGGGAUGCAGCCCUCGGUACCUGAGCCAUAUCUAGGGCGCCCAUGACCGCAGCGAAGCUGAACAUGUUGCCCAUGGUCCCCCGGAGUUCCGCCGCCAGCUGGAUGGUCUUGUGCAGAAGCGCUGCCCGCUCCUCGGCGGAGCCCGUGCAGCCCAGGAUGUCCACGGCCAGCAUGAUGGACAUGGUGUGGAACCUGUCAGAGCCGCCAGGGACGUGUGUACUCAUGACAAAUCAGCGAGCCUGGGAUUAGGGAGGAAUUUGUGACAAGCUGUGUAGACGACACUGUACCAGAGCACCUGCAGCCAAAGGUUCCUUCCAGAAUGCCCGCGGGCCUCCCUGCAUGCUUUGCCUGCCAUGUGGACAGUAUGCACUAUGGCCUGUUAAAACCACUGUUGUUUUUUACUUUCAGAAAUGAAGUAGUAGCAUGUUUCUAGAACAGGAAUUUUCUUUGUAUUUAAAAAAAAAAAAGGCCGCAGUAUUCUA
Suricata suricatta (meerkat) is the source of this 878-nucleotide long non-coding RNA. RefSeq lists it as uncharacterized. Lineage: Eukaryota; Metazoa; Chordata; Mammalia; Carnivora; Herpestidae. The transcript has 3 exons. The record is from RefSeq and is a predicted model, not a curated record.